Long non-coding RNA from Hippocampus zosterae (dwarf seahorse), 943 nucleotides. RefSeq lists it as uncharacterized. The transcript has 3 exons. NCBI's taxonomy places the organism in Eukaryota, Metazoa, Chordata, Actinopteri, Syngnathiformes, Syngnathidae. The record is from RefSeq and is a predicted model, not a curated record.
CGAAAAGUAACCGUACAGAUAGGAGAACGAAAGUUAGGGAGAAAGGGAGAGCGCCUCAAUAAGCCUUCCGUCGUUCAAAGAGCCGUACAGAAGUUAGUGGUUCUAGUUGAAGGCAACUAGGGAGAAAGCAUCAGAUGCUGUAAGUUAAGGUGUCAAAUAUUCAAUCUAGAAUAGGUCAAUUUUUGGAAUAUGUAAAUUCCAUUGUUUGUUUGAAUGACAUUAAAUUUGUCUCGUUUAAGGACACAUCAGAACAAGGGUGAAAUUACUGUUGAUUAUUUUCAAGGGUGUAAAGUAUUUUUCAUUUACAAAUGUUACUCCAACAGUAAUUUGGUGGGAGUGUAACUGGCGCCAAGACUGAGUUGUUGGUUGCCAUGACAACAAAAAAAAUAAUUUAUUUUAGGCUUGUUGUUUAGCUAAAGUAUUUCAUAUUUCUAUGUGAACUUUCAUAUUUGUUUUUUCCUUAAAUCCUCUGAAUAUGUUAUCCGGAAUGUUUGUUAAAAAUCACUUCCGGGUCAAGUGCCGUGUAUAGCGAGGAAUGAGAGAAAGAUCGAGAAGACAACGGGAGACGGAGAGAGAGAGAGUCAGAGAACUAUGAUACCGUGUGAUCUACGUGAUUUAUCGUUAUUUGAUCUACUUUCGGUUUACCAAGGUGCACACGUUUUCACGGUGUUCCAUGAAUAAACGUUUUGGACAUCAGUACGAGGCGUCAUCCUUGACCGGGGUAGAUACAGUGAAAACGUGUCCUCAUCCAUCCUUCUGGAGGCUUCGGCGCGCAGGUGCUUCCCCCACGGCAAGCUAAGCUAUCGGCUUCGGCGCACAUCACGUAGCAAGCUACGAGCUACAUCGAGCGUCGUCGCACUCGACCCGCGUGCCACGCAGCUAUCCACGAGCUACUUCGAACGUCGUCGCACUCAACCCGCAGCAAGCUACAGGCCUCAGCAUG